CGCUUACCAUGCAGUCGAGCGCACUCUUCGGAGUGAGCGGCGGACGGGUUAGUAACGCGUGGGAACGUGCCCUUCUCUAAGGAAUAGCCACUGGAAACGGUGAGUAAUACCUUAUACGCCCUUCGGGGGAAAGAUUUAUCGGAGAAGGAUCGGCCCGCGUUAGAUUAGAUAGUUGGUGGGGUAAUGGCCUACCAAGUCUACGAUCUAUAGCUGGUUUUAGAGGAUGAUCAGCAACACUGGGACUGAGACACGGCCCAGACUCCUACGGGAGGCAGCAGUGGGGAAUCUUGGACAAUGGGCGCAAGCCUGAUCCAGCCAUGCCGCGUGAGUGAUGAAGGCCUUAGGGUCGUAAAGCUCUUUCGCCAGAGAUGAUAAUGACAGUAUCUGGUAAAGAAACCCCGGCUAACUCCGUGCCAGCAGCCGCGGUAAUACGGAGGGGGUUAGCGUUGUUCGGAAUUACUGGGCGUAAAGCGCACGUAGGCGGAUCAGAAAGUAUAGGGUGAAAUCCCAGGGCUCAACCCUGGAACUGCCUUGUAAACUCCUGGUCUUGAGUUCGAGAGAGGUGAGUGGAAUUCCGAGUGUAGAGGUGAAAUUCGUAGAUAUUCGGAGGAACACCAGUGGCGAAGGCGGCUCACUGGCUCGAUACUGACGCUGAGGUGCGAAAGUGUGGGGAGCAAACAGGAUUAGAUACCCUGGUAGUCCACA
RNAcentral lists this ribosomal RNA (705 nucleotides) under Pseudophaeobacter sp. RNAcentral describes it as "bacterial SSU rRNA". It matches the Rfam family "Bacterial small subunit ribosomal RNA", at positions 45 to 799 of the family's 1533-position model. The record is from RNAcentral. Lineage: Bacteria; Pseudomonadati; Pseudomonadota; Alphaproteobacteria; Rhodobacterales; Roseobacteraceae.